CAGGGAGGCAGCUGUGAGCCUGCUGCUUCUGGCUGCUUCAGGCUGGAGCCCAGGGCCUGGGUCGUGUUGCUUAGCAACGGGACCCCGUCUGGGCCUCUGCCCUCCCCACUCCUGUCCCCUUCCCCCAUCGAGACUCAACCCAGCUCUGGUUCCAGAGCCGAGGGAGUGGCCCAGGGGGAACUGGUGUAGAGCUUAGGGGCCGCUCAGGUGUAGAAGUGGCUGCCUUAUCUGCAUGUGACUUAGGGACCAGGAGGGCCCCAGGCAGCGACGAGGACAAGUCGGCUUCCGCCCAGGCUCUGCCAGCUCCAGUUCAAACGAGUCUUUCCGGUGGGGCUGCCCAGCCUGAUCUGCCCCGCCCCAGCCUCUCCUACCGGCCGGGAGACUUGCUGCACCCCGCCCAGGCCGAAGGCGAGCUCUGAGGGAGCGAAGGCCCCAAAGGAAGGUACCCCGGAGCCUGCCUAACCUUGACUCUGACUUGCAAUGGACCUUUGAUCAAGAAAGUUGGUCAGUUUCUCAAAAUGCAAAAUCGAUGGCGUUUCUUUGGGGUAUUCUCUUUGCUGGGAACGAGAGAAGAUGAACCAUUUUCUUAAAUUCUGUCUCGAUAGCCUCUUUCCAUUCAUGAUUCCCCUGCAGCCAGAAAGACCUCAGCAGCUUCAGUUUUAUGACUUUUGGAAAAUAUAAUUUUGAUGAAUUUUUA
Long non-coding RNA from Phodopus roborovskii (desert hamster), 697 nucleotides. RefSeq lists it as uncharacterized. NCBI's taxonomy places the organism in Eukaryota, Metazoa, Chordata, Mammalia, Rodentia, Cricetidae. The transcript has 2 exons. The record is from RefSeq and is a predicted model, not a curated record.